CUGUUCCCCAACUCUGGAAAUCACUGAACUCUGCGAUUCUUCAUCAAAGCAGUUUAAAUCCAUAGUUUUCCUUUUUUUUGUACGUACUACAGCAUUUUAGUAUUGACCAGGUUGACUACAGGCAUCUGUCUCAUAUCUAAAUUUAAUCAGACUCAAACAUUAGAUUUCUCUGCUGCCUUUGUCAGUUCUAGCCUUUAUUAAAAAGGCAAUCAAUAUAUUUUGCUGUGGGAGAUACAGGGUAAUACUUAAAAGCUGUUCUCAGAACAGGCAUGGAAAAUAGUACUUCUUUUCCAGGUUGAUUGCUUUGAACUGCCAGGCUGUAGAGGUUUCUCUUGCUCCACCUGACUGAUCUAUUGUAUCUUGAAUUCUACCUUGCUCAGUGGAUUAGAUGCAUCAAAAGUCAAUGACAUAUUCUAAGGCUUCAAAUGGAAAGUAUGCACCCAAAUUGAAAUUGCAAAACCAGAAAUGUACUCAAUUCUUCCUAAGUUUUAAGACUGCACAGAGAAAAACAUUUUCGCCUACCUACCUACAUUUUCACCUGAAAUACUUCUAUGUAGAAUUCUGCUUCAGGGCCUGGCUAGUUAUUGCUCAAGUUUGAACAGAUAGACUCUUCAGCUUCCUUUAACUGCAUGCGGCUCAGGGUGCAGCCCUUGCCACAAGGAGUAAGUAACGUAAAUUGCUUCGGCACUGACUGGAGCCAAGAAGGAAAUGUGGUCAGACGAGUGCCCUGACCACUACACCAGAGAUUCUCUCUGGCCCAGUCAUUUUAAUUAUUCUGUUGAAAGCCAAGCAGGAGGUAGAGUGCCUUGUGCCCAACUUGGCAGCGCUGUGCUGUCUGCUGCGCUUUGCCAUCGGCCUGCUUGCAGCCUCUUGAGCACAUGGGUGAUUGCAUGCCUCCUUUUUUCAGCAUCUCUGAGUCUCUUCUUGCAGAGAAACCUUGAGCAUCUAAUUCAGAAUGCAGAACGGAUGUACUUGCUGGACUUGCUAUCCUGGAAGAUAAGAUCUUCCUAUCUCUACUGUUACACAACUUGAGGUUUCCAUGGCCUGCACGGAAGGGUCAUGUAAUAAACCAACACUAUAGCAAGCGUGACUUUGAAGAGAAGAGAGAAAAACAGAGAACAUGAAGGCGGUAGUAGUAAGGUCUCAACAUUACUCAACAUCAAACUAGCUAUAUAAACUUGCUGAUAUGUUUUAUUAUAUUUUUUUUAGCACUUGAGACUCUCAUGACGGCCAUCUGCUUCUGUUGCAUUUCCUGAAAGCUGUUUGUUCCAAGAAACACGGGUGUGAAUGACAGUUUUUACAUAUUUAUUCAAGGAAAUUAGUAGAAUAAGCUUUAUCAGUAGAAUAAGUAUAAUCCAUGUUCCCAAGCUUGUUGGUUGAGUGAUGCCAAAGAGCAAAUUUAAAACACAGGGCAGUUUACAGUUCUGUUAUUACAUGGUAGCAAAGGCUCAUUAGAAUUCUCAUGAUGUUUCUGCUUUUCCGAAGUAUGUAAACUGUAAAAAUGGAUGAUAGACAAGCUUUACAUCUUGGGUAAUGUGUGAUUAAAUUACAGCCAUUUAAACUAAAAUACAUGAAGAUUAUCACUUUGGGAUGUUGUUUGCUAAAAACGUCGUCUUUACUUUCAGAGCUAUCUAUGUUUAGUCUGAAAUGCACAAUACCUCUGUGUCCUUUACCCAAAGCAUACAGUUCCUGCUGUGGAACACAAUAACCAGGAAGAUAGAUCAGGCAGGUGAGGAACCACAACCAAUUUACAAAUAAAUAGAAGCAACAGGAAUGUCUCUUCCAGAGCUCAGUUCACAGCGUUCUGUCUGAAGGAGAUGGUGAAAGCUGGGAAGUCAAACAUGUCUCUUCCCCAAGAACUGGGAUUUCAACAGAAUAUAAAACAUGUUUACAUAUUCGCCUGGAGAACCUGACAAAGAAUACUGCUGGAUCUUCAAAGGCCUGCUGUAACAAUUAUUCAAGCUAGAUAUUAGGGUGUUGUUUUGACAUCUUUUCUGCUGUGAAGCCAGAUGAAGGAAGUGCUGUGUCACAAUUCAAGACUAAACUGAGAAAUACAGUUUACAGGAUGAUCCUUCCAGUUUGUUUGAAAUCUGUGAGUGACAUAAAGCACUUUCAUGCACAUCAAAGAUUACCCACUGAGGUAAUCCCAAAACAGGCUCUGCUUGGACUGGAAUUUGCAAUGGGAAGAACACAAGACCACCCCAGUGAGAUCAGGCCAGAUCCAACCUGCCCAGAUGCUCCUGCUGUUUGGUAAACCAGAAGAGAAGCUCCAGGGAACAUGAAUUCGAAAAGAGAGCAGAGGAGCCAUUUUCUGUACUUCAUACAUCCACAGAAGGG
Molecule: long non-coding RNA, 2337 nt
Organism: Tympanuchus pallidicinctus (lesser prairie-chicken)
Lineage: Eukaryota; Metazoa; Chordata; Aves; Galliformes; Phasianidae
Exons: 4
Source: RefSeq, a predicted model, not a curated record